UUAAAUUGAAGAGUUUGAUCAUGGCUCAGAUUGAACGCUGGCGGCAGGCCUAACACAUGCAAGUCGAACGGUAACAGGAAUCAGCUUGCUGAUUUGCUGACGAGUGGCGGACGGGUGAGUAAUGUCUGGGAAACUGCCUGAUGGAGGGGGAUAACUACUGGAAACGGUAGCUAAUA
This 176-nucleotide ribosomal RNA is filed under the name Escherichia coli O119:H4 str. 03-3458. Its description in RNAcentral is "partial 16S ribosomal RNA". It matches the Rfam family "Bacterial small subunit ribosomal RNA", at positions 1 to 168 of the family's 1533-position model. The record is from RNAcentral. Lineage: Bacteria; Pseudomonadati; Pseudomonadota; Gammaproteobacteria; Enterobacterales; Enterobacteriaceae.